ANNGCUNCAUGCAGUCGAGCGGAACGCACUAACAAUCCUUCGGGUGCGUUAAUGGGCGUCGAGCGGCGGACGGGUGAGUAAUGCCUAGGAAAUUGCCUUGAUGUGGGGGAUAACCAUUGGAAACGAUGGCUAAUACCGCAUAAUGCCUACGGGCCAAAGAGGGGGACCUUCGGGCCUCUCGCGUCAAGAUAUGCCUAGGUGGGAUUAGCUAGUUGGUGAGGUAAUGGCUCACCAAGGCGACGAUCCCUAGCUGGUCUGAGAGGAUGAUCAGCCACACUGGAACUGAGACACGGUCCAGACUCCUACGGGAGGCAGCAGUGGGGAAUAUUGCACAAUGGGCGAAAGCCUGAUGCAGCCAUGCCGCGUGUAUGAAGAAGGCCUUCGGGUUGUAAAGUACUUUCAGUUGUGAGGAAGGGGGUANNGUUAAUAGCNCUAUCUCUUGACGUUAGCAACAGAAGAAGCACCGGCUAACUCCGUGCCAGCCGCCGCCGGUAAUNCAANNNNC
This 505-nucleotide ribosomal RNA is filed under the name Vibrio splendidus. Its description in RNAcentral is "partial 16S ribosomal RNA". It matches the Rfam family "Bacterial small subunit ribosomal RNA", at positions 47 to 533 of the family's 1533-position model. Lineage: Bacteria; Pseudomonadati; Pseudomonadota; Gammaproteobacteria; Vibrionales; Vibrionaceae. The record is from RNAcentral.